This 2904-nucleotide ribosomal RNA is filed under the name Escherichia coli. RNAcentral's name for it is "23S ribosomal RNA". It matches the Rfam family "Bacterial large subunit ribosomal RNA". Lineage: Bacteria; Pseudomonadati; Pseudomonadota; Gammaproteobacteria; Enterobacterales; Enterobacteriaceae. The record is from RNAcentral.
GGUUAAGCGACUAAGCGUACACGGUGGAUGCCCUGGCAGUCAGAGGCGAUGAAGGACGUGCUAAUCUGCGAUAAGCGUCGGUAAGGUGAUAUGAACCGUUAUAACCGGCGAUUUCCGAAUGGGGAAACCCAGUGUGAUUCGUCACACUAUCAUUAACUGAAUCCAUAGGUUAAUGAGGCGAACCGGGGGAACUGAAACAUCUAAGUACCCCGAGGAAAAGAAAUCAACCGAGAUUCCCCCAGUAGCGGCGAGCGAACGGGGAGCAGCCCAGAGCCUGAAUCAGUGUGUGUGUUAGUGGAAGCGUCUGGAAAGGCGCGCGAUACAGGGUGACAGCCCCGUACACAAAAAUGCACAUGCUGUGAGCUCGAUGAGUAGGGCGGGACACGUGGUAUCCUGUCUGAAUAUGGGGGGACCAUCCUCCAAGGCUAAAUACUCCUGACUGACCGAUAGUGAACCAGUACCGUGAGGGAAAGGCGAAAAGAACCCCGGCGAGGGGAGUGAAAAAGAACCUGAAACCGUGUACGUACAAGCAGUGGGAGCACGCUUAGGCGUGUGACUGCGUACCUUUUGUAUAAUGGGUCAGCGACUUAUAUUCUGUAGCAAGGUUAACCGAAUAGGGGAGCCGAAGGGAAACCGAGUCUUAACUGGGCGUUAAGUUGCAGGGUAUAGACCCGAAACCCGGUGAUCUAGCCAUGGGCAGGUUGAAGGUUGGGUAACACUAACUGGAGGACCGAACCGACUAAUGUUGAAAAAUUAGCGGAUGACUUGUGGCUGGGGGUGAAAGGCCAAUCAAACCGGGAGAUAGCUGGUUCUCCCCGAAAGCUAUUUAGGUAGCGCCUCGUGAAUUCAUCUCCGGGGGUAGAGCACUGUUUCGGCAAGGGGGUCAUCCCGACUUACCAACCCGAUGCAAACUGCGAAUACCGGAGAAUGUUAUCACGGGAGACACACGGCGGGUGCUAACGUCCGUCGUGAAGAGGGAAACAACCCAGACCGCCAGCUAAGGUCCCAAAGUCAUGGUUAAGUGGGAAACGAUGUGGGAAGGCCCAGACAGCCAGGAUGUUGGCUUAGAAGCAGCCAUCAUUUAAAGAAAGCGUAAUAGCUCACUGGUCGAGUCGGCCUGCGCGGAAGAUGUAACGGGGCUAAACCAUGCACCGAAGCUGCGGCAGCGACGCUUAUGCGUUGUUGGGUAGGGGAGCGUUCUGUAAGCCUGUGAAGGUGUGCUGUGAGGCAUGCUGGAGGUAUCAGAAGUGCGAAUGCUGACAUAAGUAACGAUAAAGCGGGUGAAAAGCCCGCUCGCCGGAAGACCAAGGGUUCCUGUCCAACGUUAAUCGGGGCAGGGUGAGUCGACCCCUAAGGCGAGGCCGAAAGGCGUAGUCGAUGGGAAACAGGUUAAUAUUCCUGUACUUGGUGUUACUGCGAAGGGGGGACGGAGAAGGCUAUGUUGGCCGGGCGACGGUUGUCCCGGUUUAAGCGUGUAGGCUGGUUUUCCAGGCAAAUCCGGAAAAUCAAGGCUGAGGCGUGAUGACGAGGCACUACGGUGCUGAAGCAACAAAUGCCCUGCUUCCAGGAAAAGCCUCUAAGCAUCAGGUAACAUCAAAUCGUACCCCAAACCGACACAGGUGGUCAGGUAGAGAAUACCAAGGCGCUUGAGAGAACUCGGGUGAAGGAACUAGGCAAAAUGGUGCCGUAACUUCGGGAGAAGGCACGCUGAUAUGUAGGUGAAGCGACUUGCUCGUGGAGCUGAAAUCAGUCGAAGAUACCAGCUGGCUGCAACUGUUUAUUAAAAACACAGCACUGUGCAAACACGAAAGUGGACGUAUACGGUGUGACGCCUGCCCGGUGCCGGAAGGUUAAUUGAUGGGGUUAGCGCAAGCGAAGCUCUUGAUCGAAGCCCCGGUAAACGGCGGCCGUAACUAUAACGGUCCUAAGGUAGCGAAAUUCCUUGUCGGGUAAGUUCCGACCUGCACGAAUGGCGUAAUGAUGGCCAGGCUGUCUCCACCCGAGACUCAGUGAAAUUGAACUCGCUGUGAAGAUGCAGUGUACCCGCGGCAAGACGGAAAGACCCCGUGAACCUUUACUAUAGCUUGACACUGAACAUUGAGCCUUGAUGUGUAGGAUAGGUGGGAGGCUUUGAAGUGUGGACGCCAGUCUGCAUGGAGCCGACCUUGAAAUACCACCCUUUAAUGUUUGAUGUUCUAACGUUGACCCGUGAUCCGGGUUGCGGACAGUGUCUGGUGGGUAGUUUGACUGGGGCGGUCUCCUCCUAAAGAGUAACGGAGGAGCACGAAGGUUGGCUAAUCCUGGUCGGACAUCAGGAGGUUAGUGCAAUGGCAUAAGCCAGCUUGACUGCGAGCGUGACGGCGCGAGCAGGUGCGAAAGCAGGUCAUAGUGAUCCGGUGGUUCUGAAUGGAAGGGCCAUCGCUCAACGGAUAAAAGGUACUCCGGGGAUAACAGGCUGAUACCGCCCAAGAGUUCAUAUCGACGGCGGUGUUUGGCACCUCGAUGUCGGCUCAUCACAUCCUGGGGCUGAAGUAGGUCCCAAGGGUAUGGCUGUUCGCCAUUUAAAGUGGUACGCGAGCUGGGUUUAGAACGUCGUGAGACAGUUCGGUCCCUAUCUGCCGUGGGCGCUGGAGAACUGAGGGGGGCUGCUCCUAGUACGAGAGGACCGGAGUGGACGCAUCACUGGUGUUCGGGUUGUCAUGCCAAUGGCACUGCCCGGUAGCUAAAUGCGGAAGAGAUAAGUGCUGAAAGCAUCUAAGCACGAAACUUGCCCCGAGAUGAGUUCUCCCUGACUCCUUGAGAGUCCUGAAGGAACGUUGAAGACGACGACGUUGAUAGGCCGGGUGUGUAAGCGCAGCGAUGCGUUGAGCUAACCGGUACUAAUGAACCGUGAGGCUUAACCUU